AGCAGCCGCGGUAAUUCCAGCUCCAAUAGCGUAUAUUAAAGUUGUUGCAGUUAAAAAGCUCGUAGUUGAAUUUUGGAUUCUUCCAAUUGGUCCAUCUUUUAGAUGAGUACUGGUUGUGUGGGGUCUAUCCGCCUGGUGAUACGUAAUGUCCUUUAUUGGAUGUUUCGGGUAGUCAGGACCUUUACCUUGAAAAAAUUAGAGUGUUUAAAGCAGGCUUAUGCCGGAAUACAUUAGCAUGGAAUAAUAGAAUAGGACGAAGUUGUUUUAUUUUGUUGGUUUCUAGGACAACCGUAAUGAUUAAUAGGGAUAGUUGGGGGCAUUAGUAUUCAAUUGUCAGAGGUGAAAUUCUUGGAUUUAUUGAAGACUAACUACUGCGAAAGCAUUUGCCAAGGAUGUUUUCAUUAAUCAAGAACGAAAGUUAGGGGAUCGAAGACGAUCAGAUACCGUCGUAGUCUUAACCAUAAACUAUGCCGACUAGGGAUCGGGCGAUGUUGUUUCCAUGACUCGCUCGGCACCUUAU
Molecule: non-coding RNA, 520 nt
Filed under: uncultured Glomus
Lineage: Eukaryota; Fungi; Glomeromycota; Glomeromycetes; Glomerales; Glomeraceae
Also listed under: 1 other name
Description: SSU rRNA
Rfam family: Eukaryotic small subunit ribosomal RNA
Source: RNAcentral